UGAAUACGAAAUGCUACGGCAUUGAAGUGAUCUAUGCCAAGCUUCCAAGAAAAUCUCGUCAUAUCUUAAACAGUAGAUGCCUGUACCUUAAACCGACACAGGUAGGUAGGUAGAGUAUACCAAGGGGCGCGAGAUAACUCUCUCUAAGGAACUCGGCAAAAUAACCUCGUAACUUCGGAAGAAGAGGUACCCUUGAAAAAGGGUUGCAAUAACCAGACCCUGGCGACUGUUUACCAAAAACACAGGUCUCCGCUAAUUCGUAAGAUCAAGUAUGGAGGCUGACGCCUGCCCAGUGCCGGAAGGUUAAAGAAGUUGGUCAAUCUUUGGAUAAAGCUGGCGACUGAAGCCCCGGUGAACGGCGGCCGUAACGAUAACGGUCCUAAGGUAGCGAAGUUCCUUGUCGGGUAAGUUCCGACCCGCACGAAAGGCGUAACGAUCAGGGUGCUGUCUCGGAGAGAGACUCGGCGAAAUAGACAUGUCUGUGAAGAUGCGGACUACCUGCACCUGGACAGAAAGACCCUAUGAAGCUUUACUGUAUCUUGGAAUUGGGUUUGGGCCUUGCUUGCGCAGGAUAGGUGGGAGGCUAUGAAAAUGCUCUUGUGGGAGUAUUGGAGCCAACGGUGAGAUACCACUCUAGUAAGGCUAAAAUUCUAACUCUGAACCGUUAUCCGGUCAGAGAACAGUUUCAGGUGGGCAGUUUGACUGGGGCGGUCGCCUCCUAAAAGGUAACGGAGGCGCGCAAAGGUUCCCUCAGGCUGGUUGGACAUCAGUCGUAGAGUGUAAAGGCAUAAGGGAGCUUGACUGCGAGACCCACAAGUCGAGCAGAGACGAAAGUCGGCCUUAGUGAUCCGACGGUUCCACGUGGAAGGGCCGUCGCUCAACGGAUAAAAGUUACUCUAAGGAUAACAGGCUGAUCUCCCCCAAGAGUUCACAUCGACGGGGAGGUUUGGCACCUCGAUGUCGGCUCAUCGCAUCCUGGGGCGGUAGUACGCCCCAAGGGUUGGGCUGUUCGCCCAUGAAAGCGGUACGCGAGCUGGGUUCAGAACGUCGUCAGACAGUUCGGUCCAUAUCCGGUGCAGGCGUUAGAGCAUUGAAAGGAGUCCCCCUUAGUACGAGAGGACCGGGGGGAAUACACCGCUGGUGUACCAGUUAUCGUGCCAACGGUAAACGCUGGGUAGCCAUGUGUAGCGUGGAUAACUGCUGAAAGCAUCUAAGUAGGAAGCCCACCUUAAGAUGAGUGCUCUCACCGCUAUAAGCGGGUAAGGUCACGGUAAGAACAACCGUUAUAUAGGCAUUAAGUAUACAUGCAGUAAUGCAUUUAGCUGAGAUGUACUAACAGACCGAGGGCUUGAUAAG
RNAcentral lists this ribosomal RNA (1356 nucleotides) under metagenome. RNAcentral describes it as "bacterial LSU rRNA". It matches the Rfam family "Bacterial large subunit ribosomal RNA", at positions 1564 to 2925 of the family's 2925-position model. The record is from RNAcentral.